UAUCUUAAUGUGUCAUUAAUGAUCAUGCAGUUGAAAGAUAUUUCAGUGUCUAUUUGACCCAACAUUAAAAGGUCAUAUAAAUACUAUAACAACUUUCCAUGACAGUAAGAUCUGACUUUAUAAAACGCAAAGUUACAACAAUAAAUGCCCCAGGGUGAUUCAUCUUUGUGGCCCUGGUGACUAGGCUCCCGACACUUCACUGGUAUAUCACUGCACGGUCCUGCCAUGGAGGAAUGUGGGGCAGAAGGAUAUAGCAAGGAAGUUGGUAAGACCUGUCUCAGCAGGUGAAAGGCUUUUCUUUGUGGUUUUUGUUUUUAAUCCCAGGCCCCUCUCCAGGGCAAUGCCUAGAAACCCUUAAUUAAUUAAAAUAAUUGGUGAUGGAAGAUUGCCUUCCCAUUAACUAGUAUAUAUAGAGGCAGAAAAGAGUAUAUUCAGCACAAAAUCAUUUUGAUUCUUUCUACGUGCCCUAUUAGAUGCAUAGUUCCUCGCCAUCCCAGAGGAUAUAUGGAAACUGCUAAACGGAAGUCUGCUCUGUUUCCUAUAAGCAACACUUGGAGGCAUUUGUAUCAUGACCAAUAAGAGAAUAAAAUUAGUAGGCAUUGUGUGGCUGGUGUUAUAGUUGUAAAACUUGGUUAAGGGGUGGUUUGGGUGUUGGGGAGAACGCUCUGGGGUCUGCCUUUGUUUCUCUCUAUUAAAAAAUAAUUCUAGUUUGCUGAAAGUGAUACAAUUUGUUUUGUCUGGUUCCACACUGGUUAUGUGGUUAUUUUAAAAAAAAUUCUGCAUUACCUGAUUUAACUUUUUUUUUCUAAAUGAAAAUUUUGAAAAUUAUUUUGAAAAUUUCUAUAAAUUGCCAGUAAAAUAGUUGCUUGGCAUUUCCGUACAGAGACAUGGUCAACCAUAUUCUAGAAUUCAUAAUUUAGAAAUAGCUGUAACCUAGAGCAUUUCUUCCUAAUAUACGGUCUUCAGUUUAAAACUUUGCUGCUCUUCAGUGCCAUAUGUGCCUUUCAAUACUUUUCAUUUCUGUGUCCAAGCAUUCAUUUUACUUGUCAUUUAUGAUUUUAAUGUAUUACGUCAUUAUGCAAGCAUUUCAGAGGUUGAUGUAAGCAACGGUUCUCUUUUAUCAAGAUUGCACUAAACCAAAACAUUUGGUUUCCUUGGUGUUAAGAUAGUUACAUUUUAUAUCUUUGACAGAAAAUAGAAGAUAUGUGAUCUUGCAGAUAACUGACAUUAACAUAUGGCUUUAGCUUCAUUUUGUAGAUUCUGUGUCUGACAAGAAUCUAAACCUUUAUCAUACUUUUCUAGUAAACCAUUUAAAAUUUCAAAAAGUCUUUAUUUGUGUUAAAUUUUGAAGUGAGAUGGACAGCUGGGAAUCCAAAGACUGACUGGACAGUCUGGGAGUGAAUGGCAG
Molecule: non-coding RNA, 1408 nt
Organism: Pelobates cultripes (western spadefoot toad)
Lineage: Eukaryota; Metazoa; Chordata; Amphibia; Anura; Pelobatidae
Source: the annotation of a GenBank genome assembly